AUUGAACGCUGGCGGCAGGCCUAACACAUGCAAGUCGAGCGAGCGGCGGACGGGUGAGUAAUGUCUGGGAAACUGCCUGAUGGAGGGGGAUAACUACGGGAAACGGUAGAUAAUACCGCAUACCAUCAGAUGUGCCCAGAUUGGAUUAGCUAGUAGGUGGGGUAAUGGCUCACCUAGGGGACGAUCCCUAGCUGGUCUGAGAGGAUGACCAGCAACACUGGAACGGCGACACGGUCCAGACUCCUACGUGAGGCAGGAGUGGGGAAUAUUGGACAAUGGGCGCAAGCCUGAUGCAGCCAUGCCGCGUGUGUGAAGAAGGCCUUCGGGUUGUAAAGCACGUUCAGCGGGGAGGCGUUACCCGCAGAAGAAGCACCGGCUAACUCCGUGCCAGCAGCCGCGGUAAUAC
This 406-nucleotide ribosomal RNA is filed under the name uncultured bacterium. RNAcentral's name for it is "partial 16S ribosomal RNA". It matches the Rfam family "Bacterial small subunit ribosomal RNA", at positions 29 to 526 of the family's 1533-position model. The record is from RNAcentral.